CGAUCUUCGGGAUAAAACACUGGUCUGAAACUUGGAAAACUAAGCUUCUCAUCACAAACUCCUGCUUUUUCAGCCAAACAGCCACCAGAGGGCAACAUGCUCUCGAGCACAUCAGGAGAGCGAUGGCAUCUGUUUGAUGUUAUUCAUGCGAAGAUGUUUUGCACAGAGGGAGGAAAAAAAUGUUCACCUGUUCAAAAAGCUGCCACCAGGAUGUAGAAACAAGCGAAGAUUCUUUCUCUCAUCGCCGUAUUAUUUUCCUGAACACACUGUAAUUUCAUCAAUUUUCCAUGCUUAUGGUCAUGAAUGCUUGACAUUACCAUGUCUUUGCGUUAACAAAAAAGAAAUUUCAUGGCUUAAGUUUUCACUAGAAGAACAGGGAAAGCGUGAAAAGCCAGCCAAAUUACAGAGUGCUGCACUAUCCUUUGUUCAACAGCAAGAUUUUCUUGUGGGGAAAUUUGUAUUGUUUGUUUAUUAGCUAGAAGUUUACAGGAAACCAGAAAUCAUAAACGUGUCUUCUGUUUUAACUGUAUACUGCUUUGCAUCUGAAGGACAGCUUAUUAGAUUUCAGGGUAUUAAUGGAAUGAAAUAUAUAUAUUUAAUACAAUGCUUUAUCUUUGCUUUGUGUAUUUGAGAAAGUAGGUAAAUAUUUAC
Molecule: long non-coding RNA, 651 nt
Filed under: Gallus gallus (chicken)
Lineage: Eukaryota; Metazoa; Chordata; Aves; Galliformes; Phasianidae
Source: RNAcentral